This is a transfer RNA of 85 nucleotides. It matches the Rfam family "tRNA". Rfam says of the family: Transfer RNA (tRNA) molecules are approximately 80 nucleotides in length. Their secondary structure includes four short double-helical elements and three loops (D, anti-codon, and T loops).
GAGGAGUGGCCGAGUGGUCGAAGGCGGCGGUCUUGAAAACCGUUGGCCCUUAACCGGGUCCGGGAGUUCGAAUCUCUCCUCCUCC